RNAcentral lists this ribosomal RNA (253 nucleotides) under uncultured bacterium. RNAcentral describes it as "partial 16S ribosomal RNA". It matches the Rfam family "Bacterial small subunit ribosomal RNA", at positions 524 to 776 of the family's 1533-position model. The record is from RNAcentral.
UACGUAGGCAGCGAGCGUUGUUCGGAGUUACUGGGCGUAAAGAGUGCGUAGGCGGUUUUCUAAGUUUGGUGUGAAAUCUCCCGGCUUAACUGGGAGGGUGCGCCGAAAACUGGAAGGCUUGAGUAUGGGAGAGGUAAGCGGAAUUCCUGGUGUAGCGGUGACAUGCGUAGAUAUCAGGAGGAACACCUGCGGUGUAGACGGCUUACUGGACCAUAACUGACGCUGAGGCACGAAAGCGUGGGUAGCAAACAGG